This 330-nucleotide ribosomal RNA is filed under the name uncultured eukaryote. RNAcentral's name for it is "partial 18S ribosomal RNA". It matches the Rfam family "Eukaryotic small subunit ribosomal RNA", at positions 1470 to 1796 of the family's 1831-position model. The record is from RNAcentral.
CCCUUAGAUGUUCUGGGCUGCACGCGCGCUACACUGAUGCAUCCAGCGAGUUGUAACCUUGCUUGGUAAAGUUUGGUAAUCUGAGCCUAAUGUGCAUCGUGAUGGGAAUAGAGUUUUGCAAUUAUUAAUCUUCAACGAGGAAUGCCUAGUAAGCGCAAGUCAUCAGCUUGCGUUGAUUACGUCCCUGCCCUUUGUACACACCGCCCGUCGCUCCUACCGAUUGAAUGGUCCGGUGAAGCGUUCGGACCGUGGCCUUUGGACGGUUCGCCGUCUGUUGGCUGCGGGAAGUUCGUUAAACCUUAUCAUUUAGAGGAAGGAGAAGUCGUAACA